GACGUAGGGGGCCAGCGUUGUUCGGAAUUACUGGGUGUAAAGGGUUCGUAGGCGGUGCGGCAAGUCGGGAGUGAAAUCUCUGGGCUUAACCCAGAGGCUGCUUCCGAAACUGCUGUGCUUGAGUGUGGGAGAGGCGCGUGGAAUUGCAGGUGUAGCGGUGAAAUGCGUAGAUAUCUGGAGGAACACCGGUGGCGAAGGCGGCAUCCUGGACCGGUAUUGACGCUGAGGCGCGAAAGCCAGGGGAGCAAACGGG
RNAcentral lists this ribosomal RNA (253 nucleotides) under uncultured bacterium. Its description in RNAcentral is "partial 16S ribosomal RNA". It matches the Rfam family "Bacterial small subunit ribosomal RNA", at positions 524 to 776 of the family's 1533-position model. The record is from RNAcentral.